CCCUAGCCCCGAUAGAAGUGGAAAUCCUUUUGUGUCUCGUUUCUUUAACGAGACACAAAAGAUUGGAACGGAUAGCGGGAAAUAGC
This 86-nucleotide small RNA is filed under the name Flavobacterium nitrogenifigens. RNAcentral describes it as "Flavo-1 RNA". It matches the Rfam family "Flavo-1 RNA". Lineage: Bacteria; Pseudomonadati; Bacteroidota; Flavobacteriia; Flavobacteriales; Flavobacteriaceae. The record is from RNAcentral.